UUCAUGAACAAAACAAACAAACUUUACUACAUAAUAUAUCAUCUUCUAAAACUAUCUAUCCAUCAAAAGUAGAUUGUUGCAGUAUGAGUUUCAAAAAUAAGGGACCGCCCAUUCCAAACAUCGAUCAGCGAAAGGACGUGCAACAAAUUGGACGAAUUGCAGUGGACAUACACAACGAACAAAAACCAGACACUUUGAUUUUCCAUCGUGUGAUAAACGGCCUGGAGAUAGGGAUUAGUGAUAUACAUGGACCUCGCAUAUUGUUGUAUACUCUUGUGGUGGAAGCUAUAAAUAAGGAUAAAAUUAUCUGGACAUAUGUGACUUCCAUUAAAAUUACAAAACCAUCAAGCUAUGAACUCGUAUCUUUUAAAGAUCCCCUCGGGUACUACACCUAAUAGUAUGAAAAUAAUCCUUCUAUAUGUGUGUGUGUGUGAGAGAGGCAUAAUUGUCUUUGGCCUAUAUGAAAAUAAAUGGUAUAACCAUAUAAUAAGAACAAUGAUACUUAUCUAUUAUCUUUCUUUCUAAUUUUUCUUUUUUAUCAAAUUUUGCAGUCAAGUAUACAUGGUGCAUUUCAGAAAUUAUAAUUUGUUAUAUAAUCGUAACUUGUUUGUCUGUCUUAGUACUUCAAAAGUAAUUAAGGGAGAGUAACCAAUGGCAACGCAUAUCUUUGACCUCAUUCUUUUGAAAAUAUAAUCGUAACUUGUUUGUCCGUCUUGUUCCAAUUUUUCUUGUUUUUUUUUGGGGAGGGGGGUGGGAAACAACAAUAUUUUCGAUAAACGAAUGUUGUUCCGCUUUCAAGUUAAAUUCAUCAAAGGAAAUGGCAGCUUGUCUUGAGAACGUACCAUCUAUGUGUGGGUUCCUUUCAAUUAGCCAACGUCCCUUCACAGGUAUCACAGUUUGGACCAGAAAUGUGUUGCCCUCCUUAUCAAUGAUGUUUAUUGUGGCUGGUAUGAACCCAGUAUAAUUGAGUCUGACUUUAAUGUUUGCCUCUACGAUGUCGAAUGCAUUUAGGUUGUUCUUUUGGGGCUUUUUGCUCUUUUUGAAUGCAUUCCUUUGUUUCUUAUAAAAAUGACGAUGAAAAUCAUAGACAUGGUUUCAUUGGCCUAAGCCUUGCCAAAUUGGAUGGAGCCAUGCUGUAGGAGAUCUCACUCCCAUUUGGUUACUCUUCAUAAAGAUUUAUUUUUUUUCUUACAAUAAAUGUGAUGUCACUCCUCGUGAAGAAACCACGUUUAUCUCCCUUAUGGUGAUUAGUUUGAAGUUAGCAUUUAGUGGUAUUCAUUUGACAUUAUUGGAUUUAUGGGGUUGAGAUUGUUUCAAAGCUAUCAAUGUCACGUAGAGACUUUUUGUUGAGACUUUUUGAGGACCUUUUAGGUUGGUUUUGGAUUCGAAAGUCAGAUUUAGGCCAUGCGUCUUCUGUAAUUUGAACCUCCACGUUAAAAUAGGACUUAAUCAUUUUAAUGUACAUUUUUCAGAUUUAUGUAGUUUGAAGGAGCGGGGAAUGAAGACUUUUUUAGUGAGUUAACUAUUUUUUGUGUUGUAAUUUUUUUUUUUUGUUCAUUUUGGUAUGCCAAAGUGAAAUGUAAUAUAGCUCACGAACCUUGACACACUAAAGAAUGAUUGUUUGCCAUAUUUUGACCAAGUAUUGAAUUGUGGAUUGUGAUAUUAAUGGUUGAAAAUAUUUUUCAUUUUUAAAUUUUUGGUUGCAGUGUUUAAUGUAUUAUGGUGUAGGAAAUUCAUUCUACAUGUAAAAUUUAAUUUAUAAGCAUACAAUAUUAUAUUAAUAAUAAAUGUGGAAAAUUUAAAUUGUUUUUGUCAUGUUCUUUGUGUGGUUAGAAAUAUGUUGGCAAUUAGAAAGUUCUGCGACGUUUAUGCUUGGACAAAAAAAACAAAUAUUAUUUAAAAACAAAUUUAGCCUGGGGAGAAAUUUUGUUUUGUCCACAAAGAUCUUUUCGUUGGCAGAACUAGCUUCCGCCCACGAAACAAACGUGGCCAGAAAGUUUAUUUUUGUCGACGUGAUGAUGAUCAUGGGUAAAAAAAUACCUUUCGUUUUUUUGUGGUCAGAAGGUUUACUUUUGGCGACGUGAUGUAAUCAUGGGCAAAAAUACAUUUUUGUCGACAUUUUUUUCGUGGCUAGAAAUAUUUUUUCUGCCCACGAUUUUAAUUUGCAUGAACAUUUGUGCCGACGCAACGUAAAAAACGUGGGCAAAGAAAAAGACGACGGUGUUUCGGCCACCCAACGUGCCCACGAAGAAAAAGUGUUGGCAAAAGGUCUGGCCACGUUUUUCAUAAGAAGUGUCCAUGGUUUUCUGCGUGGGCAAAGACGAAAAUUCUUGUAGUGUUUUUUGUUGUAUGUUUUAUGUAGCCAUAAAAAAUAUUCGGGAAACCUUUUCUCCAAGAAGAAUCCGGUUGUAUGUGGGGUAUCCAAUUACCAUCUUAGUUUCCCUCUAAAUCCAAGUUUACUAAGUUAUCUUGAUGGGUAAAAUAAAUUAAAUGGGACCUUUGAGGAGGUUGUAAAGGAAGUGUCUUAUAGGAAUUUUUUUUCAUAAUGACUUGUUAAGCUAGCUAGUGCUUUUGAUGUUUAAAUAUUACCAAAGGUUCUAAAUUAUGUUAAUUUGGGGGAAGGAAAAACAAUAAAUUGAAGAAUUGAACCCUCAUUGAAGCCAUUUUUAUGGGUUCUCCAUAUACAUUAAUGAGCUAUGUUUGGGUAGAUUUUUCUUAUGGUUGUUGAAUUAAGUUUUGACACUGAAAGUUUUUUUUUUAGGCUUUCUGAAAGUUGAUGUCUGUUCAAGGAAGGGAAUUUUUGGAUUGAGAAAUUAUAGGAUUCAAACUAAGUGUUAAAUAUGAUUUGAUUUAGGCUAUCUCCAUAUUCUAGCUUUUCUGUUUUAGGGAUUGUAUAGUAUGUUUUUUACCCAAAUUUGGAAUUAACGGUAUCUAUCCUUAUCGAGGCUUAUUUGUGUGAAGACACAUUUUUUGUUGUUCAAAAUUCUCUAGAAUGAAAAGAUUCAUUGUGUGUUACACUCACAUGACCUCACACUUUAAUAAUUUGAUAGUUGUUAACCGACCUUUAUGUUGUUCUACCUAGUUUCUUCUUAUGGUAAUCGAUAUUUCUGAUAUUUUUGGUCGACUGUGGAUCAACAUUUAUGGCUGAAGUAAAUGAUUGGCGUGACCCGACGGAUAACCAUAUAUGUUGGGCUACUUCAACUACCAUCUUUCCUACUUUAUGUUUUUUGGAUUUUUGGACCGAGCAUUAGAAGAAAUAUGACCUUUAACGUCGGUUGAAAAAAAAUGAAAACGGAUCUUUAAUGUCAGUUUUUUAAAUGGGGAUGUUUAGUGUCGGUUUUCAACCGACAUAAAAAAGUUAUGGUAAUUUUUUUUUUUUUAAUUUUGUAGAGUCAAGUAUCCCUCGUUUAGUCUCACAUUUCUUCCUCGCCUCACGAUUUCUUCUCUCUCAAUUUUCUCUCAGUUUCUCCUCACUCUUCUCAAUCUCACUUUACUCCACCGUCAAGUCCGCCACAGUGGUGCCGUCCCAAAUCUUCAAAAGAUAUGUCGUCCAUCGUCGCACUGUUCCAGAUCUUCGAAGAUCUGUUGAACGUCGUCCCAAAUAGAAACCCUAAGUAUUCUCCAUGAAAUUGAAUCCCUUGUUUGAAACUCACGUUCAUCGUGCGACAUCAUCUUCUCUUUUUUGUGAGCCUUGGUAUAUAGCUACAGAUUUUGUUUUUCUUCUUUCACAAUAGUUUCUAAAUUAUCAAAGUUUCAUUUAAGUGUUAAGAUAUCAAUUCGUAGGAACAAGAGCUUAACUUCAAUUUCAAACCAGAAUGGAGAUCCUCCACAUUCCAUGGUCAUCGUGGCUAAUAAUAAGAAGAUAAUGGACACGAAUCCUAGAACAAAUGGGGCAGUAUAUCAUCAAGAUUCAAAACCCUCGAGCAGUAAGUAAGAUUGCACUUUAUUUUCCUAUUUUAACAAAAAGCACAUAGGCAAAAGAAUCAAUAGUUGCAUUUGAAAAGAUAGAAUUAAUUAUAAUAUGUUUUCCAAGUGUACUUAUCAAAGUAAUCUCUUUCGUCUUUUCAAAUUUUCUUCUGCUUUUUCCUUCGUAUUCAUCCUCAAGGUUCCAUGCUUUUUCUCUUCGCUUAUCCUCCAAUCUCUCAUUUUUUUUCUCUUUUUUUAUCAAUCUUUUCCCACUCUUUUUUCCUUUUUCCUUAAAUAUAUAUUAACAAAACUGGCCCUCAACGUUUUUAUCGUUCUUUUCUUUUUAAUUUCAUUAUCCUUCUUUUCUUUAAUUUAAGGUAUCUCAUCUUUUCUUCACCUUUUUUAUGGUUUCUUUUAUAAAAAGAAAAGAAUAAUAUUUAUGACCAUUUUUUUAUUUAUAUUUAUAAAAUUAAAUAAACAUGGAAGAUGGAGCUCAACUGUUAGAGCACUCGCUUGGCCAGUUCGAUAGACACAGUUAGACAUAGUUAGACAUAGUUAGACAUAGGGAUUGAUACCCAUUGGCAGCAUCUCCAUGGUCUUUUAAUCAAAUUCAAUAACACAUCUAUAUUUCUUUAUUUAUUAGAUUGUUGACUAGAAAAUACGUUGGGGUUUUUUCCUCUUUUUAAAAAGUUGUCUUUCUUUUAGGAAAUCGAUUAAAAACUAUUUCGUAAAAAUAAUUGUAACAAAUGAGAUUUGGACUCACAACCAACACAACACUUGUGCAAGGGGGCACAACCACUUCAGCACAAGUAUAAUUUAGGCAAAGAAAAGCCGAAUUUAAUAUGUACUACUAUAAUCUAACACUUAUAAGUAAGAGAGAUACAAAACUAUCUUCAAAUUGAUUCCAAACUAUCUUCAAAUCUAUCAACUGUGUACUGCUAAGCAAGAGAGAUACAAAAAGUAGAAGAUUCCAUUUUAUCAAAAUUAGACACAAUGGAAAUGAAUAUGUUGACUGUUAUAAACCACACACAACUAUAUAAAUACCAAACUCCUAACUCCUAAGUAUUCACGAACAAAACACAUAAACUUUACUACAUAAUAUAUCAUCUUCUAAAACUAUCUGUCCAUCAAAAGUAGAUUGUUGCAGUAUGAGUUUAGUAAUUAAGGGAUCACCUAUUCCAAACAUCGAUCAGCGAAAGGACGUGCAACAAAUUGGACGGAUUGCAGUGGACAUACACAACGAAGACAAAUCAGACACUUUGAUUUUCCAUCGUGUGAUAAACGGCCUGGAGAAUGCAGUGGAUACUUGCAAGUCGUAUGCUCUUGUGGUGGAAGUUAUCAAGGAUAAAAUUAUCUGGACAUAUGCGACUUUGAUUACAAUUCCACAAACAUCAAGCUAUGAACUCGUAUAUUUUAGAGAUCCCCUCGGGUACUACCCCUAAUAGUAUGAAAACAAUCCUUCUAUAUGUAUGUGUGUGUGUGUGAGAGGCAUUAUUGUCUUUGGCCUAUAUGAAAAUAAAUGGUAUAACCAUAUAAUAAGAACAAUGAUACUUAUCUAUUAUCUCUCUUUCUAGUUUUUCUUUUUUAUCAAAUUUUGCAGUCAAGUAUUCAUGG
This 5520-nucleotide long non-coding RNA is filed under the name Cucumis sativus (cucumber). RNAcentral's name for it is "long non-coding RNA (CSAT_LNC002710)". Lineage: Eukaryota; Viridiplantae; Streptophyta; Magnoliopsida; Cucurbitales; Cucurbitaceae. The record is from RNAcentral.